GAGUUUGAUCGUGGCUCAGAUUGAACGCUGGCGGCAUGCCUUACACAUGCAAGUCGAACGGCAGCACGGGAGCUUGCUCCUGGUGGCGAGUGGCGAACGGGUGAGUAAUGCAUCGGAACGUAUCCUGGAGUGGGGGAUAACGUAGCGAAAGUUACGCUAAUACCGCAUAUUCUGUGAGCAGGAAAGCGGGGGACCUUCGGGCCUCGCGCUCUUGGAGCGGCCGAUGUCGGAUUAGCUAGUUGGUGAGGUAAAGGCUCACCAAGGCGACGAUCCGUAGCAGGUCUGAGAGGAUGAUCUGCCACACUGGAACUGAGACACGGUCCAGACUCCUACGGGAGCAGCAGUGGGAAUUUUGGACAAUGGGGGCAACCCUGAUCCAGCCAUGCCGCGUGAGUGAAGAA
RNAcentral lists this ribosomal RNA (401 nucleotides) under bacterium enrichment culture clone ALO1_GLFRUDD03G8FEI. RNAcentral's name for it is "bacterial SSU rRNA". It matches the Rfam family "Bacterial small subunit ribosomal RNA", at positions 9 to 412 of the family's 1533-position model. The record is from RNAcentral.